RNAcentral lists this ribosomal RNA (468 nucleotides) under uncultured bacterium. RNAcentral describes it as "partial 16S ribosomal RNA". It matches the Rfam family "Bacterial small subunit ribosomal RNA", at positions 28 to 507 of the family's 1533-position model. The record is from RNAcentral.
GACGAACGCUGGCGGCGUGCUUAACACAUGCAAGUCGAACGGAAAGGCCCUGCUUUUGUGGGGUGCUCGAGUGGCGAACGGGUGAGUAACACGUGAGUAACCUGCCCUUGACUUUGGGAUAACUUCAGGAAACUGGGGCUAAUACCGGAUAGGAGCUCCUGCUGCAUGGUGGGGGUUGGAAAGUUUCGGCGGUUGGGGAUGGACUCGCGGCUUAUCAGCUUGUUGGUGGGGUAGUGGCUUACCAAGGCUUUGACGGGUAGCCGGCCUGAGAGGGUGACCGGCCACAUUGGGACUGAGAUACGGCCCAGACGCCUACGGGAGGCAGCAGUGGGGAAUAUUGCACAAUGGGCGGAAGCCUGAUGCAGCAACGCCGCGUGCGGGAUGACGGCCUUCGGGUUGUAAACCGCUUUCGCCUGUGACGAAGCGUGAGAGACGGUAAUGGGUAAAGAAGCACCGGCUAACUACGUG